AGAAAUAGAUACGAUGAAGUCAGAUGACUAAAAUGCAAAAGAGCUGAAUAGAUAAGGUUCCAUCGUUAUCUUCUCUCUGUGUGUAUACUAGUACGAAGGAAGCAAUCCAUUUUUUUUUUUUUGCGAUCAGGAAGCAAUCCAUUUGUGGCUUCGGUUCUGCGUGGAGACACUACCGUCUACCGUGAAUCUCCAGCAACGCCGAUUGCCACCGUUGCGGACUUAGCGCGGGGCCUCCUCCACCGCGUGAUGCGGCUGCACUGCGGAGAGCCGGGCCGAGGGCGUUGUCGCCGCCGCGCUUUGCGUCUCGUGGCCUGCCACCAUGCGGUCUGAGGACCACGCCGCUGGCGUCCGGGAGAGGCUCUAGCCCGCCUCGCUGUAGAUGAGGUCGAGCCAUGGUUGUCGGGCGUCGCGUGGUCGUCGCUGGUACGCAGGAAGUCGGCACCUCCGUGCCCGCUAGUCGCCACAGAAGGAGCGGAGCGGGUGGAGACGCGGGGGCCAAGGACCUCGCCGCCACGCCUUGUCGUCGUUGUUUUCCUCAAGAUUGCCGGAGUUGCUUGGAUGCCGACGGGUAGCGCGGGCGCGAGCGCCAAGCAUGAGGGUGGCAUCACAGGUGGGCUGUCGGGCGGUCCGUGGUGUGCCACGGAUAGGCAUAUGAGGACUCCGUCGCCGGGCGAGCGUCGCACGCUGGCCGUUUUGCCUUCAGAUGCGGGAGAAGAGCCCUGAGCGCCUUGCCACCGUUAAGACGCCUCCCCGUCGUUUUCUUCUUGUUCCGUGUGGCCAUUUCUCAGCAGAGAGCAAAAGUGCGUGAUAACGUGUUUAAAGUAGAAAGUAAAGAACGAGAGAGUUUGAAUGAAAGAUGAUCCAUUAGUCUUUAUUGAUGAUAGAAGUGGGGUAUUUAUACCCAGGCGGAAGUACACAUGGUGCUUGACGGUCAAGUAAACACAUAGUUACUUGAGAGCCAAGGAAUUACAUAGUUGCCUUGAGAACCAAGGAAGUA
Molecule: long non-coding RNA, 997 nt
Organism: Triticum aestivum (bread wheat)
Lineage: Eukaryota; Viridiplantae; Streptophyta; Magnoliopsida; Poales; Poaceae
Exons: 2
Source: RefSeq, a predicted model, not a curated record